This 253-nucleotide ribosomal RNA is filed under the name uncultured bacterium. RNAcentral's name for it is "partial 16S ribosomal RNA". It matches the Rfam family "Bacterial small subunit ribosomal RNA", at positions 524 to 776 of the family's 1533-position model. The record is from RNAcentral.
UACAGAGGUCUCAAGCGUUGUUCGGAUUCAUUGGGCGUAAAGGGUGCGUAGGCGGCGCGGUAAGUCGGGUGUGAAAUCUCGGGGCUUAACUCCGAAACUGCAUUCGAUACUGCUGUGCUUGAGGACUGGAGAGGAGACUGGAAUUUACGGUGUAGCGGUGAAAUGCGUAGAUAUCGUAAGGAAGACCAGUGGCGAGGGCGGGUCUCUGGACAGUUCCUGACGCUGAGGCACGAAGGCCAGGGGAGCAAACGGG